Molecule: long non-coding RNA, 966 nt
Organism: Aedes aegypti (yellow fever mosquito)
Lineage: Eukaryota; Metazoa; Arthropoda; Insecta; Diptera; Culicidae
Exons: 2
Source: RefSeq, a predicted model, not a curated record
ACGACUGCAUUGGUUAAGGUUGUACAUGAUAUUUACAACAAUUUCGACGCCAACUCGUGCACUGUCAUGGUACUUGUGGAUUUUUCCCUGGCAUUCAACUGUGUACGACACGCAAAGCUACACCAAAAGCUACAGAGGGAAUUCGGUUUUGACCAGUCAGCUGUCCAGUUGAUCGAGUCCUUCUUACAAGAUAGAAGCCAAGUGGUCAAGCUUGGAGAAGAAAUAUCGGCAGAAAGGAUUCUUGUAGAUGGUACAGUGGCCACACUAUUAUGGGUCACCUUGUCACGAUUAUUAGUCACUCUGUUCCACAUGCAAUGUAAAUGCAAAUGACCCAUAUUAGUGGGUGACCCAUAAUAGUGUGACCACUGUACUCCUCAGGGAUCGUGCCUCAGUGCGUUGUUGUUCAGUUUAUUUAUCAAUAGCCUACCAACCAUGCUAAAGUGUGAGUAUCAUCUUUACGCGGAUGAUCUUCAGAUCUACGUAUCUGGACCUAUUGAUGACGUAGAUAGGUUGGUUCACAGUAUCAACGAAGAUUUGGGCUCCAUAGAACACUGGGCAGCAAUGAACAACCUCUUCCCGAAUCCGAAGAAAACCCAAGGCAUAGUUUUCUGCAAGGCAGGACGGAUCACUCCUAGUCUCGACAUUAGGUUCUGCGGGGAGACCACUGACUAAACUGACGUGGUGGCUAGAGCAUUUUGCUUCAUGAAUAAUAGCCAAAUAUUUGAAUGAAAAUACGUUGGAACACUAACUCCAUCUGGUGGUUUUUGUAAAGAAACACUUUGACGGACAAAUCUUUAGCACUCCGAGGAAAAACUACACAUGUUCGGGUAAAAAUACGAGGAAUAUAUUUAAUCAUAUUUGGGAAAUAGAGAAUACAAAAAUCUAAACUUUCCUUUACGAAAUAAAAUUUUCUAGACUCAAAUAUAUUGCUUUAGAAUCAGACUCACAUGAUUGUCGAUAGUUUUG